This 255-nucleotide ribosomal RNA is filed under the name Vibrio parahaemolyticus. RNAcentral describes it as "partial 23S ribosomal RNA". It matches the Rfam family "Bacterial large subunit ribosomal RNA", at positions 2102 to 2356 of the family's 2925-position model. Lineage: Bacteria; Pseudomonadati; Pseudomonadota; Gammaproteobacteria; Vibrionales; Vibrionaceae. The record is from RNAcentral.
UACUACAGCUUGGCACUGAACAUUGACCCUACAUGUGUAGGAUAGGUGGGAGGCUUUGAAGCACGUACGCCAGUAUGUGUGGAGCCGUCCUUGAAAUACCACCCUUGUAGUGUUGAUGUUCUAACGUCGACCCCUUAUCGGGGUUGCGGACAGUGCCUGGUGGGUAGUUUGACUGGGGCGGUCUCCUCCCAAAGAGUAACGGAGGAGCACGAAGGUGGGCUAAUCACGGUUGGACAUCGUGAGGUUAGUGCAAUG